UACAGAGGUCCCGAGCGUUGUUCGGAUUCACUGGGCGUAAAGGGUGCGUAGGUGGCAUAGAAAGUUUGAUGUGAAAGCUCAGGGCUUAACCCUGAAAUGGCAUUGAAUACUGCUGUGCUGGAGGUUUGGAGGGGGGACUGGAAUUCUUGGUGUAGCAGUGAAAUGCGUAGAUAUCAAGUGGAACACCAGUGGCGAAGGCGAGUCUCUGGACAUUUCCUGACGCUGAGGCACGAAAGCCAGGGGAGCAAACGGG
Molecule: ribosomal RNA, 253 nt
Filed under: uncultured bacterium
Lineage: Bacteria
Description: partial 16S ribosomal RNA
Rfam family: Bacterial small subunit ribosomal RNA
Source: RNAcentral